AGCUCGAACAUCGUGCAGGUGUUUGGUGGGGUUGAGGUGAAUUAUAUGACCAGAGUCGCGAUAGUGACUUCCCGAAAAAAGGGAGAAAUAUGUUUAUUGUUCUAAUCAAAAGGGUGAGAGAGAACUGGGACGAAAGAAAGAGCAGUUGGUUGCAGAUUGUCAAAGUUUUCGGAGGUGAUUCGGACGUGCUCACUUACUACCAUAAGUCGGGCUCUGAUCGUCAAAAGAAAGUUGGUAUAAUAUCCCCGAAAAACGAGAUACUUCUCGUCUCGAUCGACGGGCAGACAGCAGAAACUCCGACAAGUGCCAGAUCUUCGACCAGCUCUCCUGUUCCUCG
RNAcentral lists this long non-coding RNA (337 nucleotides) under Androctonus crassicauda. The record is from RNAcentral. Lineage: Eukaryota; Metazoa; Arthropoda; Arachnida; Scorpiones; Buthidae.